GAUGAACGCUGGCGGCGUGCCUAAUACAUGCAAGUCGAGCGAACAGAUGAGAAGCUUGCUUCUCUGAUGUUAGCGGCGGACGGGUGAGUAACACGUGGGUAACCUACCUAUAAGACUGGGAUAACUCCGGGAAACCGGGGCUAAUACCGGAAAAUAUAUUGAACCGCAUGGUUCAAUGUUGAAAGACGGUUUCGGCUGUCACUUAUAGAUGGACCCGCGCCGUAUUAGCUAGUUGGUAAGGUAACGGCUUACCAAGGCAACGAUACGUAGCCGACCUGAGAGGGUGAUCGGCCACACUGGAACUGAGACACGGUCCAGACUCCUACGGGAGGCAGCAGUAGGGAAUCUUCCGCAAUGGGCGAAAGCCUGACGGAGCAACGCCGCGUGGGUGAUGAAGGUCUUAGGAUCGUAAAACUCUGUUGUUAGGGAAGAACAAAUUUGUUAGUAACUGAACAAGUCUUGACGGUACCUAACCAGAAAGCCACGGCUAACUACGUGCCAGCCGCCGCCGUAACAC
Molecule: ribosomal RNA, 517 nt
Filed under: uncultured bacterium
Lineage: Bacteria
Description: bacterial SSU rRNA
Rfam family: Bacterial small subunit ribosomal RNA
Source: RNAcentral